UACAGAGGCCCCAAGCGUUAUCCGGAAUUACUGGGCGUAAAGGAUGUCAAGGCGGUCAUGUUAGUCGUUCGUUAAAUCCGUGGGCUCAACCUACGGCUCGCGAGCGAAACGGCAUGACUUGAGGUUGGAAGAGGUGCGUGGAACUCACGGUGUAGGGGUGAAAUCCGUUGAUAUCGUGGGGAACACCAAAGGCGAAGGCAGCGCACUGGUCCAAAUCUGACGCUCACACAUGAAAGCCAGGGUAGCGAACGGG
Molecule: ribosomal RNA, 253 nt
Filed under: uncultured bacterium
Lineage: Bacteria
Description: partial 16S ribosomal RNA
Rfam family: Bacterial small subunit ribosomal RNA
Source: RNAcentral